RNAcentral lists this long non-coding RNA (314 nucleotides) under Ananas comosus (pineapple). RNAcentral describes it as "long non-coding RNA (ACOM_LNC041869)". Lineage: Eukaryota; Viridiplantae; Streptophyta; Magnoliopsida; Poales; Bromeliaceae. The record is from RNAcentral.
ACCAGUACCAAUUGCUGAAAAUCUGAAAUUUGCAUAUUGCAAUGCUAACUCUCUGCUCUCGCGUCCCGCUGAGUCCAGUUUGCGUCUAUUUCGCGCCAAUAGGACUCGGACUUGUCCUGACACUCUCCAGAGCUGUCAACAAGCCUCAGCUACUGAAUUCCAGGGUUACUACAAUGCAGCUACUACUAUCAACUAAUAGAAUACUACUUUCCUCCAAACUCUCUCUCUCUCUUGUACUUAGUUGUAGGAUGAGUAGGUCUUGGUGAGCAAACACAGAUGCAGGGUUGCUCACUUCACGAAGGAAAAUGAGCACC